This is a non-coding RNA of Musa acuminata subsp. malaccensis (wild Malaysian banana), 3272 nucleotides long. The record is from RefSeq and is a predicted model, not a curated record. NCBI's taxonomy places the organism in Eukaryota, Viridiplantae, Streptophyta, Magnoliopsida, Zingiberales, Musaceae.
UCGACACUUCCCCCCCGCGCCCCCCCGGCCCCGGGGUUUCGCCCAUUGAUCAGCCCCAAAACCUCUUCCGGUUCAUGGAGGAUCACUCCGUUCACAGCUCGCCCUCCUCUGCCACCGUCACUGCCGACGUGGGGUCCCACGACGUUCCCAGGAAGACACCCGCACAAGGUCAACAUUUGUGCUUGCUACGAGCCACGGAAGUGAGGAAGAACUACAGCUUCUGCAUUCCAUUAUCUUGUUGGUCGUGGACGCUCCUCCGCAUCAGGAUGAUUUCUACCUGAACCUGGUCAACUGGUCCUCGCAGAAUGACUUAGCCGUCGGAUUGGGGACUUGUGUGUAUACCCAACCAAAAGCAAGGUCUUACACAUCAUCGAUUUAGCUCGAUAUAGUAGCGAAGAAGAAUACUUCUCUGAUGGUUCCAAAAAUGGAGAUGGUGUAUGCGCAAUCCAAUGGAGUAGGGAAGGCUCCCAUCUUGCAAUUGGAGCAGCUCUUGGAGAUGUCUGGUUUGUGGAUUGAAAUGGGCCUAUCAUGGCCAUGAGCUGGGUUAUGGUGGCAAUAACAAUCAGUCCAGCGUUUAACUCAAUCAUCUCUGCACUGAAAUGGUCCCGUGGCAUACAGUUCAUUAGGACUGCUAGAUCAUACAUAAUGGUCCUUUGGUUUCCUUGUGAAACAGCUCUUAAUUUGGGACCAGUGCUCUCAAAGGCCACUCUUGAAACUGAUAGAGCACACAGCUUCAGUUAAAACCAUUACUCAAGUACCCCGUCGGCACAGCCUUGUUGCAUCAGGAGGCGGAACAACUUACUGGUGCAUCCACUUCUGGAACACUUGUGAUGCGGAACAUGCUCAACUGUCUGGACACCAGGAGUCGACUAAUAUUAUAAGCCUAAUUUUUGUGGUGAAAACUUUUGAUGUCAUUAUUCCAGGCUUAUAUGGUUCAUUUUCUGCAGGUCUGCAAUCUAGCAUGGAUGAUCUGCAGGUUUGGAAGUACCCAUAUAUCAGCAAGGUAGACGGCUUGGUAGCAAUUGACUCUCACACUCGAUGAUAAAUUUGCCUCAUUCUAGAAAGCCAGUUGCAAGAGCAAUCAGUUUUAGACAACAUAUAAUCUUACUUACUUGAGGAAUAAGCCCUCCUGCAAAUAUUUUUUAAGAUUUUAUAUUGACAGCCUCUAGAAAUGCUUCUAGUGAGUCAAAAUCAUAUUAUUAGCAGAGUAAAAUUGCAACACAAUGAAACCAAAUUCUUUAAGACUCAAAAUAAAUUAGUAUUCUGUGUGUACUUUGAAGUUGAAUGUUUCACAUCGGUCGGGUUGAAAUUUUCUUCCUCCCAGGAUACUGUCAGAUUCGUUUGUCUUUUAAUAUUUAUAUAAGUUACAUCUUUCUUGAGUUUUGAAAAGCCUGUUACCUUCCCCUUCAUUUGUGGGCAUCCUUUGAGUAGUUUCUAUGGUUCUUAUUCACAAUUGAGUAGUUUUAUAUCAAUAUUCAGCUUAACUAAGAGAAAUCUCAUUACAUCACUUUCACUCCGUCAAUUCUUAUCCAUUUGGACUUAGUAAAUUAUGAGAUUAUUUCUUCUUUUUUUUGUGGUUGGAUCAUCAUAAAGUUUGGCCUUGGACAAAGAAACUGUAGAAGAAGACUCUUAGGGGAUUCAGGUUUCAGCUCUUGGUUUACUCCCCUUCAAUUGUGAGCGUCUUUGAGUAAUUUCAAUAGUCCUUGUUUAUAAAUUUAAUGGUUUUUCAUCCAUGUUCUACCUAAUUAAAAACAUCACUCUCACUCUAUUCUUUUUUAUCGGUUUAAUCUUAGCAAUCUAUGAGAUUAUUUGUGCAUAAUUUUUGUUGCAUGAAUCUUCAGAAAGUUUGGUCUUGGACAAAGGAACUUCAGAAGAAGACUCAUAGGAGCCUUGGACUUCUUUUCUUAGUUUAAUUCUAUAAAUACAUUGUGUUAAUUAGUGAAUGGAAUGUACAUUUUUUUGUGCCUCACGUAUCUUUUCUUGUUUAAGUGAAUUUUUUUGUCAUCUAGUAUUGCAGUUUAGCUUUUGAUUAUCAUUCAUAUUUAGCUUCAAAUCUUAUGAUAUUUCUGCUCUCUUGAUUAAAACAUCACAAAACAGGUAGCAACUCAGGUGAUAACACUUCAUGAAUUAUGCCCUGCCUUGUCACCUGAUGAACAGGUAAAGGUUGUUUGAGCACAUUUUUUUCCUUUAUGCCAACUCGUAUGCAACUCCAGAAGGUAGUAUGAUGAUGGGAAAUAAACUGGUAGAUUGAGAUUGAGGUGCAAAUUAUUGCCAUGUUGCCCGAUGGAAAGUUAAGCACUAGUUGUGGACAAUGAUAUCCCUACUGAUUGUUCAGAAUGAAUGGAGCUAAAAAUAAUUGGUGGAUUGACUGUCAAAUCAUUUUGCUGUGCCUUAACUGCAGACUAUUGUGACUGGAGCAGGCGAUGAGAAUGAGGUUGUGGAAUGUUUUCUCCUCAGUGAAAACAACUGACAAUGGCAUUUCAUCAUUUGGUGGAGUUCUACUUUGCUCUAAACCACAUAUUAUCGACCAUUCAACUGUGUUCUUUAAGAAGUUAUUGAUGGGAUUUUACCAUAGGCUCCUGCACGUGAAACCCGAGUUUGGUCCCCGGGAAGAACACAUAUGCUGACUAAAUAGCAAGUAUGGCCCUAACUCUUUACAUAUGUUUUGUACAUUAUCUAACAACAAAAGAAAAUUUCUGAUCUUAGUUAUUAGAUCUUGCAUCAUGUUUCGUGAGUUUUCACACAUCUAAUCAGCAAGAACUUCACUCUGACAUUGUUUGUAGCAAUCUUCAUCUGGAAAAUCUAGCAUUAGCUUAUAUUUGCUGGAAUUUGUGAACAAAACUAGUUUUAAUUCACUUAUAUGCUUCAUGUUGUAGCAAUUUUUACCUGCCUGAAAAUUCUUAUCUGCAUCUUGUUAUUGGCCAAUGAGAAACACAAACGUGAUCAAUCCUUUCACUUUUUGACAGCAUUCUAAGAAUCUUUCUUUAUCUUUAGUACAGUGAUAUUUGGAUUGCUGCUGCACAUCAAUGUUUCAAUCUUGAAUUGAUCAGUUCUGCAACUACACAUGUCCAAACAAUUCCAAUUAUGAUUCUUUGAGGAUGAGUGUUCCUCUACACUGUCAAAUUAGAAUUGUUAUGCUUUAAAGUUCCUAAACUCAUCUUGAAAUAUCUUUUAAAAGAAAAGGGAGUCCAUCAGUGACAUUAAAAUCCAGCAUUUCAUGUUCUACUGGUUGGAAAUCUCGACCAAACUUCUAUGAUUGAAUAGGGGUUAGA